UGGGGGAUAUUGCACAAUGGGCGAAAGCCUGAUGCAGCGACGCCGCGUGGGGGAUGAAGGCUUUCGGGUUGUAAACCUCUUUCGCUAUCGAACAAGGCCCGCUUAGGGUGGGUUGAGGGUAGGUGGAGAAGAAGCGCCGGCUAACUACGUGCCAGCAGCCGCGGUAAUACGUAGGGCGCGAGCGUUGUCCGGAAUUAUUGGGCGUAAAGGGCUUGUAGGCGGCUUGCUGCGCCUGCUGUGAAAACGCGGGGCUUAACUUCGCGCGUGCAGUGGGUACGGGCAGGCUUGAGUGUGGUAGGGGUGACUGGAAUUCCAGGUGUAGCGGUGGAAUGCGCAGAUAUCUGGAGGAACACCGAUGGCGAAGGCAGGUCACUGGGCCAUUACUGACGCUGGGGAGCGAAAGCAUGGGUAGCGAACAGG
RNAcentral lists this ribosomal RNA (420 nucleotides) under bacterium. RNAcentral describes it as "partial 16S ribosomal RNA". It matches the Rfam family "Bacterial small subunit ribosomal RNA", at positions 355 to 776 of the family's 1533-position model. The record is from RNAcentral.